This 1305-nucleotide long non-coding RNA is filed under the name Anser cygnoides (Swan goose). Its description in RNAcentral is "lncRNA (ENSACDG00005017234.1)". Lineage: Eukaryota; Metazoa; Chordata; Aves; Anseriformes; Anatidae. The record is from RNAcentral.
AUGCGGCUCCCCCAGCCCUUGCACGGCUGUUUGACCAGAGUGCUACAGGUAUUUCCAGCCCCCCACCCCAGGAAUGCGCUCGCCCCCCCCUCUGCAGCCGGACACGCCGAGCGAGUGCCCGCGGGCUUGCUCCAGCCUGUUCCUGGCCGCUGCCGAGGGCUCCCCUACAACUCAUUAACUACUCAAGAGCGCGGCGCGCAGCGGGUGCUGGCAGCCUGUGCCGCAUCAGAGCCCCCCCCCACUCCAGUACCCAGGACCCCAAAGGCAGGGGGCCCUGACCCAGCUGUUUCCCGCAGCACCCCGACACCCCCAGUCUGGCUGGGUCAGCUUCUGCCACCCCACGGCACCCCAGUGCCCUGUGCCUGGGUGCCUCUGGCACCGUGCUGUGCCGUGGCACCCUGUGCCUGGCCUCCACCACCCCGUGGCACCCUGACACCCCUUAUGCAGCAGGGUCAGCCUGCCGCCCCACGGCACCCCACGGCGGGCUGGGGUUGGUGGCCGGGCCGGGUACCCGGGGCACUGGGGGGGUUCUGUGCAAGCAGCAGGCAAGGGGGCUUGCACCUGGUGAGGUGCUGCUGGGGGCGCCCAGCCCUCGGGGUGACAAAGCACGGCACAGACGGGCAUGUCCCCGGGCAGGUGGCAGUGGUGACAGGGCUGGGGCACCCCGGGGACACACAGCCGGGUGCUGGCAGUGCAAAACCUCUGCCGGCUGCGGCCCCGGCGUGCAGGGGUGCACAGGUGCAGGCUGCACGGGGGCCAAUGUGCACACACCCAAACACACGCACCCCCUGCUGGCUGGGAUGCACAGACACACGGCUGCACAGACAGACGGACACACAGAGGCAGACAGACAGACACAGGCAGACAAAGGCGCACACACACACACACAGAGGGCCACACGGACAGACGGACGGACUCAGAGGUACACAAGCACACGCGCAGACAGGCACGCACAGGUACACACACACACAGAGGUGCGGACAGACAGACACACAGGUACGCACACACAGACACAUACAGGGACAGAAUCCCAAACACACCAACACUCAGAUGUGCUCACACGGGUGCUUGCACACCUGUGCACACACACAGCCACCCUCACAAGUGCGCACACCCACAGGGGAACGUGCCCCGGACGCAGCCCUGCGUGCACGCGCCAGGCUGCGCAGGCACAACGGGGAGCAAAAGCACUCACAGACAGGUGCACGCACACACACACACACAUGCGCAUGCCGGCGGCGUGCGUGCGCAGACGAGCACCCAGCGGUGCACGCGCGGCUGCGCAGGUGCAGGGGAAACACCUAG